Callorhinus ursinus (northern fur seal) is the source of this 6428-nucleotide non-coding RNA. The record is from RefSeq and is a predicted model, not a curated record. Lineage: Eukaryota; Metazoa; Chordata; Mammalia; Carnivora; Otariidae.
UACGUAUCAUGGCGGGCCACGCCGCGCUACCGCACUCUUCCGCUGGGCCCCAGAAAGUUUCGCUUCUGCCCAGCGGUGGACCCAAGAGCGAGUGCUGCCAUGGAGUCUGAUCUGUGCUGACCGGACCCAGGCAAGAGGUGCACAGCCCAGAGAGGCGGCCUGCAGCCAGUCGCCAUGGCAUCCCCCAUGGCAGAGAGCCAGCUGCAGAGAAUCAUCCGUGAUUUGCAAGAUGCUGUGACAGAGCUAAGCAGAGAAUUUAAGGAAGCUGGGGAGCCCAUUACGGACGACAGCACCAGCCUGCAUAAGUUUUCUUAUAAACUUGAGUAUCUCCUCCAAUUUGAUCAGAAGGAGAAGGCUACCCUCCUGGGCAACAGGAAGGACUACUGGGAUUACUUCUGUGCCUGCCUGGCCAAGGUGAAAGGAGCCAAUGACGGGAUCCGAUUCGUCAAGUCGAUUCCGGAGCUCCGAACAUCUCUGGGAAAAGGAAGGGCAUUUAUCCGCUACUCCUUGGUGCACCAGAGGUUGGCGGACACCUUACAGCAGUGCUUCAUGAACACCAAGGUGACCAGUGACUGGUACUAUGCAAGAAGCCCUUUUCUGAAACCGAAGCUGAGCUCUGACAUCGUGGGCCAGCUCUAUGAGCUAACCGAGGUUCAGUUUGACCUGGUGUCGAGAGGCUAUGACUUGGACGCUGCCUGGCCAACGUUUGCCAGGAGGACACUGGCCCCCGGCUCUUCUGCUUACCUGUGGAAACCCCCCAGCCGCAGCUCCAGCAUGAGCAGCUUGGUGAGCAGCUACCUACAGACUCAGGAGAUGGCCUCCAGCUUUGACGUGAGCAGUCCCAUAAACAACGAGACGCUGGAGGGCUUUGACGAGAUGCGGCUGGAGCUGGACCAGCUGGAGGUGCGGGAGAAGCGGCUGCAGGAGCAGAUGCAGCAGCUGGACAGAGAGAACCAGGAGCUGAGGGCGGCUGUGAGCCUCCAGGGCGAAAAGCUGCAGACGGAGAGGGAGAGGGGCCGCGCCGCUGCCGAGGACAAUGCCCGCCUCGCUUGCAUGGUGGCCGAGCUCCAGAAGCAGUGGGAGGUUACCCAGGCCACCCAGAAUGCCGUGAAGGAGUUCCAGGAGUGCCUGCAGGCCCUGGAGCUGGGGGCAGCAGAGAAGGAGGAGGAUUACCGCUCGGCCGUGCGGCGGCUGGAGUCUCUGCUGCAGCCCCUGGUGCAGGAGCUUGAGGCCGCACAGGACCCACUGGGCGGGGAGGACCGGCAUUCACCUAAUGUCGCAGCCCAGCUGGGCACGGCCGAGCAGAAGGCAGACGCGGCACCGGACACACAGGGGCAGCAAGAGCUCCUCCCCAGCGCCUCGGCCCUGGAGGUCCAGGAGCUGCGGGAGAAGCUUCGAGCCCUGGAAAGAGAGAGCACCAAGGCACGGGAGCUCAGCAGGCGGCAGAGUGGCCAGCUGGAGCAGUUGGCCAGGGAGCUGCAGCUGAAGGAGGAGGCCCGGGCCAGCCUGGAGCGCCUGCUGGAGGAGAUGGCCCCGCUCCGGGAAGAGCUGGCCGGGAAGGGGCAUGAGGCGGCCCAGCUCCGGCGGCAGCUACAGGAGUCCCUAGCCCACCUGAGCUCCCUGGAGCAGGAGCUGGCAGAGGUGAGGCAGGGGGAGCGGCAGCGGCGAGAGGAGAAGGAGCUAUUGCAGCAGGAGGCCGGUUUCCUGGCACGGCAGCCGCGGCUCCUCGAGGCCCAGCUGGCCCAGCUGAGCCGGCACGUGAGCGAGCUGCAGGAGCAGAAGCAGCAGCUCAUCCGGGACAAAGACCACCUCAGCCAGAAGGUGGGGGCGCUGGAGCGGCUUGCCGGGCAGCCGGGCCCAGAUCUGCCCACAGCAGGGGAGAAGCCCGAGGCCCGGGGCCCCCCAGGUUCCACCCUGCAGCAGGUCUUCAAGAAGCCGGAGGAGGAGCAGAGAAGCCCCGGGGAGAGCCAGACAGGUGAUAGCCAGAUGCAAGGGAACGGUCAGGAGGAGAAGCUCCAGCAGGCCAACAGAGAGCUGGAGAAGGAGCUGCAGAAUGUGCUGGAGCGCAACCAGCUCCUCGAGGGCAAGCUGCAGGCCCUGCAGGCUGAUUACCAGGCCCUGCAGCAGCGGGAGGCAGCCAUCCGGGGCUCCCUGGCCUCCCUGGAGGCUGAGCAGGCCAGCAUCCGGCACAUGGGGGACCAGAUGGAGGCCAGCCUCCUGGCUGUGAGGAAGGCCAAGGAGACCAUGAGGGCCCACGUGGCCGAGAAGGAGGCCGCCCUGCGGAACACAGAGGCCGAGCGUCAGCAGCUGCAGGAGGAGGUGGGGCUGUGCCGGCAGCUGGUAGAGGCCCGGGAGAGGGAGCUCGGGGCUCUUGAGCUCCAGUGCCGCCAGCAGACCCAGCUGAUCGAGACCCUUAUGGCGGAGAAAGGCCAGCAGGGGCUCGGCGCACCUGAAGACCGUGCCCACCGAGAGACAGCAGCCCAGCCGGCCCUGGGUCAGGCCCAGGUGGAGAACCAGCAGGGGGAGGCUGGGCGCCUGCCAGCUGAAGUGCUAGACCUUCAGGCCAAGCUCCAGGCAGCCCUGGGUGACCGGGAGAAGGUACAGGGCCAGCUGAGCGUGGCUGAGGCUGCUCUGAGGGAGCACAGAGCCCUGGUGCAGCAGCUGAAGGAGCAGAACGAAGCCCUCAAGAGGGCCCAGGGUCAGGAGCCGCUGCAGCGCUCAGAGCGGGAAGGGGCACCGCGGGAGGAGAGGACUGAGGAGGGGGAGCGAUCAUGGACCGAGAACCCACCAGUCCCAGAAGGCGGCUCCCUGGAAGCCCGGCUGGAACCGGCCGAGUCGCAGGGGCAGCUGCCUGGGCCUAGCGCAGCCACCGACGAGCCUGGCGUCCGUGUCAGCUCGCAGUUGGCCGAGAAAAAGCAGACCGAGGAGGCCCUGGCCUGCGCCAUGCGGGAGCUCCGUGACAUCAAGGAGGCAGCCUCGAGGCAGCGAGAGGGCCUGGAAGAGCAAGUGGCAGGACUGCAGCGAGAGAGGGACAGUGUGCAGGAGAGGCUGCAGGUGGCCGAGGAGGCGGCCUGCGCCCUGCCCGGCCUGCAGGCCCAGCUGGCCCAGGCCGAGCAGCGGGCCCAGAGCCUCCAGGAGACGGCACACGAGGAGCUCAAUGCCCUCAAGUUCCAGCUGAGCACCGAGAUCAUGGACCACCAGAGCCGACUGAAGACUGCCAGUGAAGAGUGCCAGAGCCUCAGGGACCAGCUUGAGGAGCGAGGCCGGCAGCUGCAGGCCGCCGAGGAGGCGGUGGAGAGGCUGAAGGCUGCCCAGGCAGAUCUGGGAGAGCAGCUGCGCGGCACCAGCAGGCGUCUUUCCGAGAGCCAGGCCGCCAUGCAGAAGAAGGAUGAGGAGGGGGCUGCCCUUCGCAACAGCCUGGACAGGACCCAGAAGGAACUUGAAAAAGCCAUGGCAAAGAUCCAAGAGUAUUACAACAGACUCUGCCAGGAGGUGACAAACCGGGAGAAGAAUGACCAGAAGAUGCUCGCGGACCUGGAUGACCUGACUAGAACCAAGCAGUACCUGGAGGAACGGCUGAUUGAGCUGCUCAGGGACAAGGAUGCUCUCUGGCAGAAAUCAGAUGCCCUGGAAUUCCAACAGAAGCUCAGUGCUGAGGAGAGGUGGCUCGGAGACCCAGAGGCGAGCCACUGUCAGGACUGCAAGCGAGAGUUCAGCUGGAUGGUGCGGCGACACCACUGCAGGGUCUGUGGCCGUAUCUUCUGUUAUUACUGCUGCAACAACUACGUCCUGACCAAGCGCAGUGGCAAGAAGGAGCGCUGCUGCCGAGCCUGCUUCCGGAAGUUCAGUGAUGGCCCUGCAUCGCCUGACAGCGCCAGCUCCGGCACCAGCCAGGGGGAGCCCAGCCCUGCACUGUCGCCAGCCCACACUGGGCCCCAGGCUGCCAGAGGCCAAGACGCUGACUGCAGGCCGCCAGACGAUGCCGUGUUUGACAUCAUCACAGAUGAGGAGCUGUGCCAGAUCCAGGAGUCCGGCUCCUCCUUGCCUGAAACACCCACCGAAACCGACUCCCUCGACCCAAACUUGCCCGAACAGCAUAGGAGCUAAAGCUGCGGAAGCCUCCAGAGGCCAGAGAAGCCACCCCAGGUCACGUGGCUUACCCCGGUCCUUCUCCAAGGAAGACCACGCGGAUGCCCAGUGAUACUGAGCCAAACUCGUAGAGACUGUCCCUGCGCCUUCGAGCCCCUUUGCCAGUAAUUGCUUCAUGACUGGCCCUUCGUGGUCACAGUGCUUUGCAGGGGCAAUGGUGGGUUUGUCACCAGCCAGGAGAUGUGAUGCCUGCAUCUCAGAAGCAACACGAGAACAGGAUAUGGUAAGGAUGGUUAAGGUUAGAAAGCCGCCUUGUGCUUGGGGUAACCCAACAUCUCCCCUUUGAUGAUGACUCCAGAGCUGGCAUGUACCUCGAGUCCAUCAGCUGCAGGAGCCCUCCGUUGGCCAGCAGAGAGAGAGGCUGCUCCCUGGAGGCCUAGCCCUCGCUCCGCUGUGUGAGCUUCGGCAGGUAUUCAUCUCUCUGAACAAGUUUCCUCACCUGAAAAAUGGGGAUGAUAGUGCGAGGCCUCCCACCGAACGGUUUUGGCAGUUACCCCAGACCGUGGAGGCCUGGGCCCCCGGAACGGGCCCUGCCUGGAGGGGCCCUUGGUGGGGAAGGUCAGAGCGAGCGGCCCCUCCACUCCUGGACCCCGUGCUCCCUGCCCUCCCGCGGCCCACAGGGGCAGCUCCAGCCCUUACUUCCUAUAGCCCCUGUGCCUCAGUCCCGAAUGCCUACUGAAGUCACCUGGGCUUCUGGCUCCCAGGCAGCCCCUGGAAUCGGGGUCCCCCUGUGCUCACCGCGUCUCAGACAGUGUGGCCGUCCAGGGCCUCGAACCGCGCCCCCGCACACCUGUACCCCAUCAUGUGCUGGUGUGUAUGAGCAGAGUCAAGGGGAGGAGCCCAGCAGGGUUGAGGCUGGGAACUUGCCCUUUAUGGGGCUGUUACAUGGACAGAACAAAGUCAAGACAUAACAGCGCUCUGUAACCUCUGUGCACUGUGCCCGCCUCUGUUGGCGGUAAUGCUGUGUAUGCAGGGGAGGGCUUGGGAAAAUAUCUACUCUCGGGUGUAGCAGAUAAGGGCCCAGAGAUACAGGGACAGUGAGUGACCGAGGAUACAGAGAAGGUAAAGGAAGAUCCCAUGGCUGUGCCGUCCUGGGCUUUCCUAAGCUGUAGAAGGACGGGCACAGCGUUUCUGCAGGGAGCCUAGAGAGAAGGCGUAUAACACAGGCCCGGGGUGGGACACGGCCUGAUGGGUGCCCGGUCUUGUUUGGCUCAGCCUGGCAGGCACCUGGUUAGGGGGAAGCCAGCGACCCCCACAGCUGCCCCUCUGUUGCCGUGGCCAGGCAGCCCCCAGCUUGGCCCUCCUAGUGCACUGUCCAGGCCUCCUGAGCAGUCCUGGAGGGAGGGUGUGGUCUGGUGUGGAUGCUGUACCAGGCUUGGGGAGGCUGAGUGGCUUGCCCAAGGAUGCACAGAGCUGGAGCAGUCACUGAGCCAGCAUCUGAGUGACCGCAGGGCCCCUGGCUGCCUGCCUUCUCACAUCCUCCUUUCCAGGUAGGGCCUCUGUCUCGUUUUGUGGAAGCCAGGGGCUGGUGGCCUCGCUAGCGGAAGUGCUGACCCUCAAGAUGAACCCACAAAGGAUGGUGACAGAAACUCCCACUUUGAGGCCAGUUUUUUUUUCCUGGUUUUUUUGUGUGUGUUUUUGUUUGUUUUGUAUUUGAAGCCAAUUUAAAGACGAUGUAAGUCAGCCUUGUCACCGUAGAAAGGGCAGAUUUUGUUGAGCAAGGAAGCUCUGGGUCCACGUGGCCUGGGGACCCUGGAAGCAACUGCUCUCAUGGGUGCAUUUAGGCACGAGCGGGAGACAGUAGGGGGGGGUCGUGUGGGCCUGCGCAGCUGGACCAGAGUGUAGGGGACGUGCCACACGACCCUGGAGGCACGGAGCACACCCUUCGCGCCUUGCCAGCUCACAAAGGACGCCCCGCGGCCUCGGUGUGUCGCUGGUUCUCAUGCCGCUGUUGCCGUCCUUGCGGCCCUCCCCACGCCAGCCCCCAGAGGUGGGUCCCGUUACGGCCCACGUUUCACCAAAACAAAAGAGGUUAAAGAGAUUACCAACUGGUCUAGCCAACGAGUGAGAGCUGAGCCAGGAUUCCCCUCCCGUCAGUCCGGACCCCAGAGCCACACUGCUAAGCCCCGUCUGGCCCACCGCCCUGUGCACUCGCUUUCACUGCUGGCGAUCGGUUCUCUCCAUUUUGGCAUACCACAUUAAAGUAGAAGGUGCCUGGGGCGCCUGGGUGGCUCAGUUGGUUAAGCGACUGCCUUCGGCUCAGGUCAUGAUCCUGGAGU